Molecule: small nuclear RNA, 132 nt
Filed under: Helianthus annuus (common sunflower)
Lineage: Eukaryota; Viridiplantae; Streptophyta; Magnoliopsida; Asterales; Asteraceae
Description: U1 spliceosomal RNA
Rfam family: U1 spliceosomal RNA
About the family: U1 is a small nuclear RNA (snRNA) component of the spliceosome (involved in pre-mRNA splicing). Its 5' end forms complementary base pairs with the 5' splice junction, thus defining the 5' donor site of an intron.
Source: RNAcentral
UAACUUACCUGGACGGGGUCAAUGGAUGAUCAAGAAGGUCCAUGGCCUAGGUCGGUGACCUCCAUUGCACUUAGGAGGGCUGCCCGCCUAAGGUCGGCCCAAGUGGUCGAGCCUACGUCAUAAUUUGUAGCU